This 830-nucleotide ribosomal RNA is filed under the name uncultured bacterium. RNAcentral's name for it is "bacterial SSU rRNA". It matches the Rfam family "Bacterial small subunit ribosomal RNA", at positions 59 to 887 of the family's 1533-position model. The record is from RNAcentral.
AAGUCGAUCGGUAACGCGGGGCAACCUGGCGACGAGAGGCGGACGGGUGAGUAACGCUUGGGAAUCUACCUACUAAUGGGGGACAACCCGGGGAAACUCGGGCUAAUACCGCAUACGCACUACGGUGGAAGCCGGGGACCGCAAGGCCUGGCGUUAGUAGAUGAGCCCAAGUCGGAUUAGCUAGUUGGCGGGGUAACGGCCCACCAAGGCGACGAUCCGUAGCUGGUCUGAGAGGACGACCAGCCACACCGGAACUGAGACACGGUCCGGUCUCCUACGGGAGGCAGCAGUGGGGAAUAUUGGACAAUGGGGGAAACCCUGAUCCAGCGACGCCGCGUGGGUGAAGAAGGCCUGCGGGUUGUAAGGCCCUUUCGGUGGGGAAGAAAAGUUGUCGUUUAAUAAACGACGACCUUGACGUAACCCACUAAAGAAGCACCGGCUAACUCUGUGCCAGCAGCCGCGGUAAUACAGAGGGUGCGAGCGUUAAUCGGAAUUACUGGGCGUAAAGCGCGCGUAGGCGGUUUGGCAAGUCGGAUGUGAAAUCCCCAGGCUUAACCUGGGAACUGCAUUCGAGACUGCGUUACUAGAGUAUGGGAGAGGGAAGUGGAAUUUCCGGUGUAGCGGUGAAAUGCGUAGAUAUCGGAAGGAACAUCAGUGGCGAAAGCGACUUCCUGGACCAAUACUGACGCUCAUGUGCGAAAGCGUGGGGAGCAAACAGGAUUAGAUACCCUGGUAGUCCACGCCAUAAACGAUGAGAACUGGAUGUCGAGGGGGUCUGCCUCUCGGUGUCGUAGCUAACGCGUUAAGUUCUCCGCCUGGGGAGUACGGCC